RNAcentral lists this ribosomal RNA (2040 nucleotides) under Klebsiella aerogenes. RNAcentral's name for it is "partial 23S ribosomal RNA". It matches the Rfam family "Bacterial large subunit ribosomal RNA", at positions 911 to 2925 of the family's 2925-position model. Lineage: Bacteria; Pseudomonadati; Pseudomonadota; Gammaproteobacteria; Enterobacterales; Enterobacteriaceae. The record is from RNAcentral.
UGUUUCGGCUAGGGGGUCAUCCCGACUUACCAACCCGAUGCAAACUACGAAUACCGAAGAAUGUUAUCACGGGAGACACACGGCGGGUGCUAACGUCCGUCGUGAAGAGGGAAACAACCCAGACCGCCAGCUAAGGUCCCAAAGUCACAGUUAAGUGGGAAACGAUGUGGGAAGGCACAGACAGCCAGGAUGUUGGCUUAGAAGCAGCCAUCAUUUAAAGAAAGCGUAAUAGCUCACUGGUCGAGUCGGCCUGCGCGGAAGAUGUAACGGGGCUAAACUGUGCACCGAAGCUGCGGCAGCGACACUAUGUGUUGUUGGGUAGGGGAGCGUUCUGUAAGCCUGCGAAGGUGGCCUGUGAGGGUUGCUGGAGGUAUCAGAAGUGCGAAUGCUGACAUAAGUAACGAUAAUGCGGGUGAAAAGCCCGCACGCCGGAAGACCAAGGGUUCCUGUCCAACGUUAAUCGGGGCAGGGUGAGUCGACCCCUAAGGCGAGGCCGAAAGGCGUAGUCGAUGGGAAACAGGUUAAUAUUCCUGUACUUGGUGUUACUGCGAAGGGGGGACGGAGAAGGCUAUGUUAGCCGGGCGACGGUUGUCCCGGUUUAAGCAUGUAGGCGGAGGUUCCAGGUAAAUCCGGUACCUUUUUAACGCUGAGGUGUGAUGACGAGGCACUACGGUGCUGAAGUAACAAAUGCCCUGCUUCCAGGAAAAGCCUCUAAGCAUCAGGUAACAUUAAAUCGUACCCCAAACCGACACAGGUGGUCAGGUAGAGAAUACCAAGGCGCUUGAGAGAACUCGGGUGAAGGAACUAGGCAAAAUGGUGCCGUAACUUCGGGAGAAGGCACGCUGAUAUGUAGGUGAAGCCCCUGCGGGUGGAGCUGAAAUCAGUCGAAGAUACCAGCUGGCUGCAACUGUUUAUUAAAAACACAGCACUGUGCAAACACGAAAGUGGACGUAUACGGUGUGACGCCUGCCCGGUGCCGGAAGGUUAAUUGAUGGGGUUAUCCGUAAGGAGAAGCUCUUGAUCGAAGCCCCGGUAAACGGCGGCCGUAACUAUAACGGUCCUAAGGUAGCGAAAUUCCUUGUCGGGUAAGUUCCGACCUGCACGAAUGGCGUAAUGAUGGCCAGGCUGUCUCCACCCGAGACUCAGUGAAAUUGAACUCGCUGUGAAGAUGCAGUGUACCCGCGGCAAGACGGAAAGACCCCGUGAACCUUUACUAUAGCUUGACACUGAACAUUGAGCCUUGAUGUGUAGGAUAGGUGGGAGGCUUUGAAGCGUGGACGCCAGUCUGCGUGGAGCCAACCUUGAAAUACCACCCUUUAAUGUUUGAUGUUCUAACGUUGGCCCCUUAUCGGGGUUGCGGACAGUGUCUGGUGGGUAGUUUGACUGGGGCGGUCUCCUCCCAAAGAGUAACGGAGGAGCACGAAGGUUAGCUAAUCCUGGUCGGACAUCAGGAGGUUAGUGCAAUGGCAUAAGCUAGCUUGACUGCGAGCGUGACGGCGCGAGCAGGUGCGAAAGCAGGUCAUAGUGAUCCGGUGGUUCUGAAUGGAAGGGCCAUCGCUCAACGGAUAAAAGGUACUCCGGGGAUAACAGGCUGAUACCGCCCAAGAGUUCAUAUCGACGGCGGUGUUUGGCACCUCGAUGUCGGCUCAUCACAUCCUGGGGCUGAAGUAGGUCCCAAGGGUAUGGCUGUUCGCCAUUUAAAGUGGUACGCGAGCUGGGUUUAGAACGUCGUGAGACAGUUCGGUCCCUAUCUGCCGUGGGCGCUGGAGAAUUGAGGGGGGCUGCUCCUAGUACGAGAGGACCGGAGUGGACGCAUCACUGGUGUUCGGGUUGUCAUGCCAAUGGCAUUGCCCGGUAGCUAAAUGCGGAAGAGAUAAGUGCUGAAAGCAUCUAAGCACGAAACUUGCCCCGAGAUGAGUUCUCCCUGAGACUUUAAGUCUCCUGAAGGAACGUUAAAGACGAUGACGUUGAUAGGUCGGGUGUGUAAGCGUAGCGAUACGUUGAGCUAACCGAUACUAAUGAACCGUGAGGCUUAACCUU